Selaginella moellendorffii is the source of this 734-nucleotide long non-coding RNA. RefSeq lists it as uncharacterized. Lineage: Eukaryota; Viridiplantae; Streptophyta; Lycopodiopsida; Selaginellales; Selaginellaceae. The record is from RefSeq and is a predicted model, not a curated record. The transcript has 6 exons.
GAAUGUAUGAGCUGGUCUCUCUUCGUAAGGAGGUUGUGGCGAUGGACGAAGUAACCUGUAAACAACGGACACGGGCUAUAGAUUUCAACCGCAAGUAACCGCUGGAACCGCUAACGACCAGUUAGUGAAUCCCGUUUCCGUGACAACGGAACCGACGUGGUCUCGACGUCAUUCUACGUAAAUUUCCGCUGGUCUCGCUGGCAUGACAAGUGUAGAGCCUUAUGCUGUGGCCACAAUCGAAGCACAUCAUAUGGACAAAGAGGGACAGAUCAUUGUACACAGAAAGUGGCAUUGGCAACAAGAGAAUGUACACUCCCUUUUGUUUAAACUACGGCUGAGGAAGCAUACAGAGACCCCACUUAAGUGUACAGUGAUGUUUCUAGAAGAUGUUUUGCGUCUCGGGGAAUCGUUUCCUGCUUUUUUUUCUUUUCUCUCUCCUUUUGAUUUUCUCUUUCCCAGAUUUCAAUCUUCUAGAAGAAGAAGAAGCUGACACAGGGUCGAGGCUACUUAUUAAUGUCGCUGCCCAGCGUGGAAAUGUUGGCAACUGAUCAACGACUCUUUGGAGAGGAGGAAAGAUGUCACUAUUCACGAGAUAUGUUGACUGGAAACACGCGACCGCGAGCUUUGAACCACACGAACUCCAGGCAGUGACGAGAACUUUAAGAGCCAUUUUGUGUAUUCAAAGGCUGCACGAAGGAAGGUUCCCUUCGUGUUUUGUACAAAGCUUAUGCAGA